This 574-nucleotide ribosomal RNA is filed under the name uncultured eukaryote. Its description in RNAcentral is "bacterial SSU rRNA". It matches the Rfam family "Eukaryotic small subunit ribosomal RNA", at positions 1107 to 1670 of the family's 1831-position model. The record is from RNAcentral.
CAGACGUCCGGGGGGAGUAUGGUCGCAAGGCUGAAACUUAAGGAAUUGACGGAAGGGCACCACCAGGAGUGGAACCUGCGGCUUAAUUUGACCCAACACGGGGAAACUUACUAGGUCAGGACACAGUAAGGAUUGACAGAUUGAAAGCUCUUUCUUGAUUUUUGUGGAUGGUGGUGCAUGGCCGUUUUUAGUUGGUGGAUUGAUUUGUCUGGUUAAUUCCGAAAACGAACGAGACCUUAACCUGUUAACUAUGUGAUGUUAAAAUUCGACUUCGGUCUCAAUAUUUGAUAUUAAAAAUUUAAUACUUCUUAAAGGAACAAUUCAAACUUUAAUUGAAUGGAAGUUUUAAGGCAAAAACAGGUCUGUGAUGCCCUUCGAUGUUCUGGGCUGCACGCGCGUUACACUGAUAUGUUCAAUGAGUUUUAAAUUUCCUAGUCUGAAAAGACGUGGUAAACUUAGAAAAACAUAUCGUGAUUGGAAUAGUAUUUUGUAAUUAUCGCACUUGAACGAGGAAUUCCUAGUAGGGGCAAUUCAUCAAAUUGCCCCGAUUACGUCCCCGCCCUUUGUACACACC